CCCCCCCCCCGUCUCCCCUCCCCCACCCCAUCCAGCCUCACGGGACCCACAGGCAGUUCUCUCAAUGCGCCGAGGCUCUGUGACGUCCGCCCACAGCGCUGCUCUCCCUUUUCUCAUCGACUACAUCCUAAUUCUUCAAGGCUCCAUCCAGAUGCCACUUCAUCUGCAAAUACUUCCUGAAUCUUCCUGAGUCUAAGUGAAUUAUGCUUUAACGCAGGCUAGCAGGAUUUUAGCGAGUCGUCACUGAUGUUUGUUUCGCCAGCUUCCACAUCUCCCUGUCAACUCCUGUUUCUCGGCAGUCCUGUGGGCCAGCGUCCUGGCUGUCUCAGAUAUCACGUGAGCAGCAGCGCCCCCUGCCCACCCCCAGCACCAGGAGAGGCAUGCCCACUCCUCCCAGGCCAUGGUUUCCUUCUGGGACCGAUGCCCAGGAAGCGUGGAGCAGGCGGAGAAAAGAUAUCAUCAAGCCUCAGCCACUUGAAAGAGAUUUUUCUCAAACUGGGAGAUGGCGAUUACAGAGGAUUAUGAAGAAAUUCCUAGAAGUGAGAGAGCUAUUUGCACAUCGUUGUUGAAUUAUUGAAUGGCAAAACCUGAGCCAAAGUGAAGAAGACAAGUCAGCACCUGGCACUCUUACAUUUCCUCCCGUCCCUUCUUUCCUCAAGCAAUACCUGCUGAGGGCUCAGAAGGGCUGCUGUGAGCCUGAGCGGCUGUGCGUGUUGGUGGCUGCAAUGAAGUAGAGUGUGGCGUCUCUCCAGGAGGUGUGAGUGUGUGUGUGUAAGUGAUGUGAAACAGGCUAUGCUGAGAGCCAGGAGAUGCGCAACCCUCUACCCUUAAAUUUCACGUCCCAGAAAUAAAAUAAAUUUAAAUUCAACCCACCUCAUCUUUUCUGUAUAUAAAGUAGAAAUUAUUUGUUGACACCCAGUGCUUCAGAGGAUAUAACCACAAGAUAGGAAAUAAUAC
RNAcentral lists this long non-coding RNA (957 nucleotides) under Ovis aries (sheep). Its description in RNAcentral is "lncRNA (ENSOARG00000026296.1)". The record is from RNAcentral. Lineage: Eukaryota; Metazoa; Chordata; Mammalia; Artiodactyla; Bovidae.